Molecule: ribosomal RNA, 253 nt
Filed under: uncultured bacterium
Lineage: Bacteria
Description: partial 16S ribosomal RNA
Rfam family: Bacterial small subunit ribosomal RNA
Source: RNAcentral
UACAGAGAGUGCAAGCGUUAAUCGGAAUCACUGGGCGUAAAGCGCGCGUAGGUGGAUAUUUAAGUCGGAUGUGAAAGCCCUGGGCUUAACCUGGGAACUGCAUUCGAUACUGAAUAUCUAGAGUAUGGUAGAGGGAAGUGGAAUUUCCGGUGUAGCGGUGAAAUGCGUAGAUAUCGGAAAGAACAUCAGUGGCGAAGGCGGCUUCCUGGACCAAUACUGACACUCAAGUGCGAAAGCGUGGGGAGCAAACAGG